CAAUUUAACGGAAGUUUUCGGAUGGAAGUUGAAUUGACUGAGUGGCGGACGGGUGAGUAACGCGUGGGUAACCUGCCUUGUACUGGGGGACAACAGUUAGAAAUGACUGCUAAUACCGCAUAAGCGCACAGUAUCGCAUGAUACAGUGUGAAAAACUCCGGUGGUACAAGAUGGACCCGCGUCUGAUUAGCUAGUUGGUAAGGUAACGGCUUACCAAGGCGACGAUCAGUAGCCGACCUGAGAGGGUGACCGGCCACAUUGGGACUGAGACACGGCCCAAACUCC
RNAcentral lists this ribosomal RNA (285 nucleotides) under uncultured Lachnospiraceae bacterium. Its description in RNAcentral is "partial 16S ribosomal RNA". It matches the Rfam family "Bacterial small subunit ribosomal RNA", at positions 55 to 339 of the family's 1533-position model. The record is from RNAcentral. Lineage: Bacteria; Bacillati; Bacillota; Clostridia; Lachnospirales; Lachnospiraceae.